UGUAUGAAGUCGGAAUUGCUAGUAAUCGCGGAUCAGCAUGCCGCGGUGAAUACGUUCCCGGGCCUUGUACACACCGCCCGUCACACCAUGAGAGUCGGGAACACCCGAAGUCCGUAGUCUAACCGCAAGGAGGGCGCGGCCGAAGGUGGGCUUGAUAAUCGGGGUGAAGUCGUAACAAGGUAAC
This 184-nucleotide ribosomal RNA is filed under the name uncultured bacterium. RNAcentral describes it as "partial 16S ribosomal RNA". It matches the Rfam family "Bacterial small subunit ribosomal RNA", at positions 1317 to 1500 of the family's 1533-position model. The record is from RNAcentral.